GCGAUCAUACCAGCACUAAUGCACCGGAUCCCAUCUGAACUCCGAAGUUAAGCAUGCUUGGGCGAGAGUAGUACUAGGAUGGGUGACCCCUAGGAAGUCCUCGUGUUGCACCCC
RNAcentral lists this ribosomal RNA (114 nucleotides) under Salvia splendens (bonfire salvia). The record is from RNAcentral. Lineage: Eukaryota; Viridiplantae; Streptophyta; Magnoliopsida; Lamiales; Lamiaceae.